GCCCAGGUGGUGGAAUUGGUAGACACGCCAUCUUGAGGGGGUGGUGGCCUUAUGGUCGUGCAGGUUCAAGUCCUGUUCUGGGCA
RNAcentral lists this transfer RNA (84 nucleotides) under Croceimicrobium hydrocarbonivorans. It matches the Rfam family "tRNA". Rfam says of the family: Transfer RNA (tRNA) molecules are approximately 80 nucleotides in length. Their secondary structure includes four short double-helical elements and three loops (D, anti-codon, and T loops). The record is from Rfam by way of RNAcentral. Lineage: Bacteria; Pseudomonadati; Bacteroidota; Flavobacteriia; Flavobacteriales; Owenweeksiaceae.